Molecule: long non-coding RNA, 1678 nt
Organism: Micropterus salmoides (largemouth bass)
Lineage: Eukaryota; Metazoa; Chordata; Actinopteri; Centrarchiformes; Centrarchidae
Exons: 2
Source: RefSeq, a predicted model, not a curated record
AAUUUUGAAUCGUGGUCCGGGAAUGUACAUUUAUUGUCCAUUUAAUUACUUCGUCGUGGGUUGGGAAUGUGUGGCAGACAUCCCUCCAAGUUGUCUUUAAUGGAUGUGUAUUUACGAAGCUUAAAGGAGGUGAGUCAGUCGAGAACGGGAAGAGGUGAGCUUUACGGUAGUGCCCCCUAGGUAAUGCAGUUUAUUUAGGGCCAUUAUGAAUCGCCCGCAUAAAUUGAAGCGACCAGAAAAGUGGACCGACAGCUUGUCAGACGUGCCCAUGCACCGAUUUAAGGGAAUGCCAAUAUAAGAACUUCGGGAAAAGUCACUGUACAAGUGUAAAAUGUCGAGUAGGCUGCCGGUCCAAUUCAAGCAUUGGCUGUACAUCGAGAUCAUCAGAAACGUUCCCUUUAAGGAUGUGUUAUGGUUUCGGGGGGAAACCUUUAGUCUGCUGCUUCACACAGCUGCAAGACAACCACCAUCGUCCCUGUACCAAGAAGGUCUGCAGUGUCUUCACCUCCAUUUUUAAGAUAAGAUCAACUUAUUCCCACACCAGGGAAAUUCACUUGUUACAGCCGCGCUAAAGUCAAAAGUAGAGGAAGAGUGAUAAAUAAAAACAAAGGCAAUACACUAUAUACACCUUUCACUCAUGCAGAUUUAACCACAAUGGAUAAUUGCACAUAAUACACACAUUGUAGAGAUGUUGUCCAUGAUUGAUGUCAGCUUGGCUAAUGUCCUCCUCUCACCCACUCUUUUGCACUUUCUAGGGAGCAGGACAGAGCUAGCCCCCCAUGACACUGAUUGUCAAACUUGGCACUCUGUGCUUAAGUACCACACUCUGCAAAUGGGUAUUGGACUUCCUCACAAACAGACCUCAGAUAGCUGGGAGAAGCAGUCACCUGCCCUGUCCCGUUCAUGCUGUACAACCACGACUGCAACCCAGACAUGAAGCGAACUCUUUGCGGACGACACCACCUUCAUUGGCCAGAUUUCAAACAACGCUGAGACUUCAUGUUGGGAGGAAAUUGACAAUCUUGCAGAGUGUCGCACAGAGAACAUCAUCAUGCUCAACAUCAGCAAAACCAGGGAGCUGAUUGGUGAUUUUAUAAAAGUGGAGCUGAGUGAAGCAGCAGUGGAGCUGAGUGAAGCAGGUCAACAGUUUUAGGUUCCUGGGAAUCAGCAUCACAGUGAUGACAUGGUCAUCUCAUAUCUCCACCCUGGUAAAGAAAGCUCAGAAAUGGCUGUAUUUCUUAAGGAAACUUAAGGCUAAAUUCUUGUUAACUUUUAUCAAGAAGCAACAGAAACUGACUACAAUUAUCACAAACUUGCAUGGGAUGUGCAUGGCCCAGGACAAGAGGACUCAUUGGUAGCCAUGUAAUGAGCAUCAGUGAUAUCUGUGGGGUUAGGUGCCUGAGGAAAGCCCAAAGGACAGAGCAGCUUCUUUCCACAGGCUGUGAGACGCCUCAACUCCACCAUAAAUAAAUGACACGGAACUUUCUGUAAUAGCACAUUACCAUAUUACCUUGUAUAAUGUAUGUCUAUAACUGCAGUUUUUACUUUUAUUCUAUUCUGAAAUUUUUAUAUGUGUUCUGUGUGUGUAAUGUGAAGGGGGCUACAACUUUAAUUACAUUGUGCAGACCUGUGUAGUACAAUUACACAUAAAUGUACAAUAAACCUUGAAUACAACCCA